CUUGAAACACGGACCAAGGAGUUUAUCGUGUACGCAAGUCAUUGGGUGAAUAAAACCCAAAGGCGUAAUGAAAGUAAAAAGUA
This 83-nucleotide ribosomal RNA is filed under the name Velitra sp. JZ-2016. RNAcentral describes it as "partial 28S ribosomal RNA". It matches the Rfam family "Eukaryotic large subunit ribosomal RNA", at positions 653 to 734 of the family's 3401-position model. Lineage: Eukaryota; Metazoa; Arthropoda; Insecta; Hemiptera; Reduviidae. The record is from RNAcentral.